CAGCAGCCGCGGUAAGACGGAGGGUGCUAGCGUUGUUCGGAAUCACUGGGCGUAAAGGGCGCGUAGGCGGCCUGUUAAGUCGGAUGUGAAAGCCCGGGGCUCAACCCCGGAACUGCAUCCGAGACUGGCAGGCUUGAGACCGGGAGAGGAGGGUGGAAUAUCCAGUGUAGAGGUGAAAUUCGUAGAUAUUGGAUGGAACACCGGUGGCGAAAGCGGCUCUCUGGCCCGGAUCUGACGCUGAGGCGCGAAAGCGUGGGGAGCAAACAGGAUUAGAUACCCCAGUAGUCCCUGUCUCUUAUAC
RNAcentral lists this ribosomal RNA (301 nucleotides) under uncultured bacterium. RNAcentral describes it as "partial 16S ribosomal RNA". It matches the Rfam family "Bacterial small subunit ribosomal RNA", at positions 509 to 807 of the family's 1533-position model. The record is from RNAcentral.